AGGGUGUGCAGAAAAAGGCUUAAGGACUUGAAGUCAAAACUAAAGAAGGCCCACGAAUCCCACCGCUUGAAGCUUCUGUGAUUGCAACUUGCAAGGCGGUGACACCAUGCCAUCCGCUCCCGCGGACGGGCAGAUGCCGGCCCCCGCGCCAAGCUGUUAACCCCUUUCAUAUAUUGUGGAUUUUUUUUAAAACCGCACUUGCAACUUUUCUCUACACCCAUUUUCCGUUCCCUGAUCUGCCGGUUGUUCUCAGUCAACUGCACAAAGUUUCCUUCCCAAGCGAAAUGCUAGCAUAUUAUUUUACCUUGCCAAGAGCCGUUCAAGUCUCGCCUGUAAAUGUGCAUAAGCGAAUGUAAACCCUCGUCAGAGGACCUGAGAUUUCCCUUCCACCUGUGCAGUUUGCUUUCCAUCGACUUCAUAGAUUUAUAUGGUUGACUUGUUUUACGAAAGGAAAUGUCUUCACGGCAGUUAAAAAAAAGUCUUUCUUGAAAUGGCAUGGUUUGGUAGAGGAUUAGAGGGUUACCAACUCGCUGAAAAUGAUGCGAUGUCGCAUCAAAGCUAACUUAUGCCUCUCUCUGCUCUUUACAUGUUCCCUUUUUUUUUUUAACGAAAAGCAUCACCAGUAGAGGUGGGUGCUGGAUGAUACUGCUGCCCUUGUACUUUGUUCUGUUGACCGUCUCUUCAUUUUCUGAAAUUAGCUGCACAUUAUUUGGCGAAGUUUUUUAUUAACUCUAUUUAGCCUUUUGUCGUGGAAGGUUAGAAAAUACUGACAAUUUUCAACAAUGUAGCCAACAUUCAACAGGUAAAAGGGAAAAUUUGCCUUGAAAAAUAAAUUAUAACCCCGACAAAACACAAUCUCGUGAGUGGCAGAUCCAUUACUCUUUGUCGACGAACAAGCUUUCCACACUCCAUCGGACGCCGUCCACCGUUGUCAGCCCUGCGUGGUUGUUCUUGGGCAAGCAGCGAAGAAGGUAAGGAAUGGUUCUCCAUAGAAAUCCGGAUCUGGCUGGAAGUCUGCAUCAAAAAUUGCCACAAACUCACAAUUGUUGACGGUUAUAGCAAAUUUAUAUAUGAAAGGGGUCUUCAAUGAAGAUCUGCUGGAUUCAAUGAGAUACCCGUAAGACUUGAUUAGUGGAGUCAUCAAGAACCUGGACUAUGAGCUUGUCAGAUGGCCAUGAAAGUGCACAUGCUGCUCCGAUGGAAAGCUUGUAGACCUGGUGAUAGAAAUCCAAAUAUAUCGUUUGAAGAUUUAAGUGUGACCAUCAGACAGCUUUCUUAUUAUUUACCAAUGAUCAGAUUUUCUUUAGUUUUCAAAGGUCUGCAUGCAUCUUCACUAUUGAUGUGCGUAUCCCUUCCCAGGUUUGCCAAUUGCCAAGAUACUUGCGCAUUGAAGUUGGUCAGUUGAACUGCUUUAUGUGUGGGAUGAUGCAGUUUUUUUGCUAUGAAUCUGUGCCCUGUGAAGUUGCUAAUUUUAGGUUAUAUUAACAUAGCUUUUUUUUUUUUUGGAGCAAAAUAUAUUAACAUAGCUUUGAAGUUGGAGGGAACUAUGAUCCUUGCCCUCUCAUAGUUUUUAAAAUAUCCAUGGAAUCUGGCUCUAGUGAUAUCAUUUUCCUCGUGUAAGAAGUUUAGCGGUUGAAGCAGGCACAUUUGGUAAUGUGUGCAUUGGCUUUAGGUGACUCGAGCCUGAUAUUCCUUUUAUACGGUUUAAUCCCAGUGAUUCUUGGCUUGUCGAACUGGAUACGGAUUGACAUGCCUUGCACUAUCUCUAUGAUGAAAACUGUUCCUAACUACACUGAUUAUGUGCCCCCGUUUGUUUUGAGAUUAUUAUUGUUGUUUUUAAUGUUUGUUGAUCUUUUUCUUGUUUUUAUCUCGCCGGGCUCCUCACUAAAUAUAAUGCAUGAAUGUGUUUGCCGCAACCACGAGAAGCAUGAUAAUUUAUUUCUUACAUUUCUUAACUAUAUUUUUUCCUGUUCAGUCUGAUGAAUAAUCUCAUAGAAAUUUUGCUGAUUGAAUAAUAUAUUGAUUUGAAUAAAAUUUUAAAUGAAAUAUUGUCGUUCUCUUAAAAUUGGCUGGACUUGCUAUAUUUAGAUAGAUAGAUGUAUUUUUAGCAAAAGACUAGCUGUAUGCGAAGCUGCCUUUUUGUCCUCUGCCACAAUUAGUACAUUAUUUAAGGAUUUGGCUGUUGGGUUAGAAGCGGUGUGUAUUGUUGGGUUUUGAAAAGAAAUUCAAUAGGCAAUAAUAGCUUACCAUCGGAAUUGUUUUUCUUGCACCGCUAGUUUUGGAAACACACGAUCUGUGUGUGAAUGCUGAAUAAAGCCAAUCAUAUUUUGGAAGCAUUAGGGGAAAAAUGAGAGAGAACUCUUCACUUGUGCGGAAGAAAAAAUUGGAAAAGACGAAGCACAGUUGACACGGCAAGUCAUCUUUUGGAAGCAUCAGGCAAGAGCUCAUAAUCAGGUAAAGAGAAGACGACGGGCCACUUAAGUUGUAAAAGCUCUACCUCCGGUGAUUCCAGCCGCCAAGCAAGCAAACGUCGUUGUACCAAAAUUGCCUCAAAUCACUCUUUGCAGGGAAUCACGCAAAUUAAUAUGGGUGAAAACUCCAAAUGGGCUUGUCCUGUCAGGUUAACACUCCAGAAUGGUGCAUUCGUGAUAUUGUGGACUAGGGUGUUCUGCUCCAACAUGCAAACUAGACUUCACUCGCACGACCAUUACAAAUGGUUCAGAAAAAUUAAGUAAUCAGAAAUCAUGUGCGUUUUAAUUGUAGUAUGAUAUAAUGCAAGAUUUUGUGAAGUCUAAAUCAAGAACAAUAAUUAUUCAUUCAUAUAAUCAUAUUUUCAGAA
Long non-coding RNA from Prosopis cineraria, 2839 nucleotides. RefSeq lists it as uncharacterized. The record is from RefSeq and is a predicted model, not a curated record. Lineage: Eukaryota; Viridiplantae; Streptophyta; Magnoliopsida; Fabales; Fabaceae. The transcript is spliced from 5 exons.